GACGAACGCUGGCGGCGUGCUUAACACAUGCCAGUCGAACGGAAGGGCCCUGCUUUUGUGGGGUGCUCGAGUGGCGAAAGGGUGAGUAACACGUGAGUAACCUGCCCUUGACUUUGGGAUAACUUCAGGAAACUGGGGCUAAUACCGGAUAGGAGCUCCUGCUGCAUGGUGGGGGUUGGAAAGUUUCGGCGGUUGGGGAUGGACUCGCGGCUUAUCAGCUUGUUGGUGGGGUAGUGGCUUACCAAGGCUUUGACGGGUAGCCGGCCUGAGAGGGUGACCGGCCACAUUGGGACUGAGAUACGGCCCAGACUCCUACGGGAGGCAGCAGUGGGGAAUAUUGCACAAUGGGCGGAAGCCUGAUGCAGCAACGCCGCGUGCGGGAUGACGGCCUUCGGGUUGUAAACCGCUUUCGCCUGUGACGAAGCGUGAGUGACGGUAAUGGGUAAAGAAGCACCGGCUAACUACGUG
Molecule: ribosomal RNA, 468 nt
Filed under: uncultured bacterium
Lineage: Bacteria
Description: partial 16S ribosomal RNA
Rfam family: Bacterial small subunit ribosomal RNA
Source: RNAcentral